GUUUUCUGGAGAGUCCAGACUGUAGACUGGAGAGUCUGAGGGUCGAUGACAGGGUGAUUAAAGCUUCCAGAGACAAAACCUGUCCAGGCAGGGAAACUGUACAGAGGAGACUCCCAGCCGAGGAAAGGCUCACAGCAGAAGACAGGCUCACAGCAGAGGACAGUGUCACAGCAUAGGAAAAGUUGCUCUCAGUUCGGACACAGUUUGUUAAGAGAGUGUCUGGACCUGUUCUAGAGCAGCCUCUGGAUAAACUUUUUGAGCGUGGCGUUGUAAAUGAU
Molecule: long non-coding RNA, 278 nt
Organism: Seriola dumerili (greater amberjack)
Lineage: Eukaryota; Metazoa; Chordata; Actinopteri; Carangiformes; Carangidae
Exons: 3
Source: RefSeq, a predicted model, not a curated record